Molecule: long non-coding RNA, 1958 nt
Filed under: Homo sapiens (human)
Lineage: Eukaryota; Metazoa; Chordata; Mammalia; Primates; Hominidae
Description: ATP6V0D1 divergent transcript
Source: RNAcentral
GGGCCUUCUCUAGCUUUCCCCGGUUUGCUGCACUUGACGCUGCAGGGCGGGCGGGGUAAAGAAGGGAGCGAGCCCUUCUCAAGCUUGGAAAGUUUCCAGACUGCUGGGCCAGCCUCCUCCCCAGAGGGAAACUGAGGUCCGAUUGAGGUUUCUCCAAGACCGCCCACUCCUGCUCCUGUCCCCAAACCCCUUUCUGCCUAGGGUUCCUGGAAGCCAAGGAAACAGAACGAACUGUUCCCUGGGUGGGCGAGCCACUGCAGAGUACAAAGCUUUCAGGCCGCCUGCCUCAUUAGCACUAAUGGCUGCUCCCUUCCGCCCUGUGUCGUCAGGACUGUCUAUGCCUGGUCUCAUCAGCACAAGGCUGGGUAACAGCUGAAGAAGUCCCAGGAGUCCUCCCAUGUCCUCUCAGCAACCCAGGCUGGAGCCUACUCCUUGGUGUUGGCAAAGGAAACCGUCUUUGAAGGGCAACUGUUUGAAAAUGCUGCAGAAACAUGAGAAAUGUUCAUGAAGUGACCCUGUGGAGGCUUCCGGUCACAGGAUCAUGUGAGCGCCACGAUCACCCCAGGGGUGGAGCAGAUGCUAAGUGUUCACCACACCCAAUUCUCUUCCUGGACACACAGGAAGAUGACAUUUCCAGUGACAUGCCCCACCUCUAGGCCCUAGUCUUUUUUUUAUUUAAAGGUCUGAGUCUUGUUCUGUCACCCAGGCUGGAGUGCAGUGCUGUGAUCAUGACUCACUGCAGCCUCAACCUCCUGUGCUCAAACAAUCCUCCCACCUCAGCCUCCCUAAUAGCUGAUGUCAUAUAGGCAUGAGCCAGUGUGCCUGGCUCAGGCCCUACCCUUAAAAGCAUCCCACCUGAUUCACCAGCCCCCUUCUCUCUCUCAGUAAACUUGGAAACCACGCAUUCCAGAUGGUAUAAUUUACAGCAUGAUGGAAAAAGCCAGCUCUCCAUGGGAAGCUGGCCAGUCUUCAUUGGAGUACAUUUUUAUUGCAUGAAGCCAAUGAGACUUGAUAUUGUUUAACUCUGUGGUUUCCAAAGUGCGGUCCUUUUGAAGUAUCCAUAAAGUCUACACUAGGUUCACGGUAAUAUUAAGAUGUUAUUUGUCAGCUGGGCACGGUGGCUCACGCCUAUAAUCUCAGCACUUUGGGAGGCCAAGGCAAAUGGAUAAUGAGGUCAGGAGUUUCAGACCAGCCUGGCCAACAUGGUGAAACCCAGUCUCUACUAAAAAUACAAAAAUUACCUGGGUGUGGUGAUGCAUGCCUGUAAUCCCAGCUACUCAGGAGGAGGCUGAGGCAGGAGAAUUGCUUGAAUCCGGGAGGCAGAGAUUGCAGUGAGCUGAAAUCUCACCACUGCACUCCAGCCUGGGUGAUGGAGCAAGACACUGUCUCAAAAAAAAAAAAAAAGAUAUUAUUUGUCUUUCAUGAGUGUACAGUGGGAUUUUCCAGAGGCUACAUGACAUGUGUUUUUUUAUUUUGUUUUUUAUACUGACAGAGGGGUCUUGCUAUGUUGCCCAGACUGGUCUUCCAACUCCUGGCCUCAAGUGAUCCUCCCGCCUUCACCUCCCAAAGUGCUGGGAUUAUAGGUGUGAGCCACUGCGCCUGGCUGUUUGUGACAUGUGAUGUUGAAACAGGUUGAGUAUAGAAGCAGAUAUGGGAAUUAAACCAGAAUAUUAAACCAGACAUUGAAGAGAUUUGCAAAAAAUACAAAACAAUACCACUGUUUUCACUUUCUUUUUGGUUUGGAAAAAUGUAGUUAUUUUUCAUUAAAAGUAUGUUGUGUUGGCUGGGCACAGUGGCUCAUGCCUGUAAUCUCAACGCUGGGAGACUGAGGUGGGAGGAUCACUUGAGAUCAGGAGUUCGAGACCAGCCUGACCAACAUAAUGAAACCCCAUCUCUACUAACAAUAUAAAAAUUAGCUGGGCUGGCUGAGCGCGGUGGCUCACGCCUGUAAUCCCAGC